UCCAGGAUGUGUAGGGGGGUCACUAUUCAACCCACUACGGGGAUCAAGAAUGAUUCCAAAGUUUUUGUACCCAGCAACCAAAAGAAUGAAGUUUGCAUGAACCAAUAAGAAAAGGCUAUGAAAGGAGCAUGUUUUUGAAGAUGGGGCCAAAGUUCUGAGUAGAUUCUAAUCUGUGCAGGUGGAGCUGGAGCUGGAUAGGGUGCCCCGCCCUCCGCAGAGCUCUAGUGGGUUCAAUUUCUUUGCUUCUCUUUUGGUGCUAAGUUCAGGGACUGAGGCAUCGGUGGGUGGGUCCAGCAUGGCGCCACCCUGCUCCCGGCCGGGCCUCAAAGAUGGCCGCAGCCACUGGGAGCAGACAUGUUUGUGCCACGUGACCCAGGGCCGGGCCAGAGGCGGCUGAACGUGACGUACGGUAGAGGCGGGGCUCCUCCCCCGCAGCCCUGGCGUCGAGCGUCUCGUGACAGGUACUUCCGCUCGGGGCGGCGGCGGUGGCGGAAGUGGGAGCGGAGCCGGAGUCUUGGCCAUAAAGCCCGAGGCGGCGGCGGCGGCGGCGUUGGAAGCUUGGACAGGCCGAGGAGCCCCCCGGAAUCGGAGCUUGGACUUUCCUUCGCUCCUGUCGUCCCGUCGUCUCCUCCUCGGCGGAGCCCUCGCGACGCGCCCGGCCCGGAGCCCAGCGGAGCGGCCGCGCUUUUCUCCUGUCUUCCAUCUCAGACUGGAUCUGAC
Kogia breviceps (pygmy sperm whale) is the source of this 720-nucleotide non-coding RNA. NCBI's taxonomy places the organism in Eukaryota, Metazoa, Chordata, Mammalia, Artiodactyla, Physeteridae. The record is from RefSeq and is a predicted model, not a curated record.